Molecule: ribosomal RNA, 292 nt
Filed under: uncultured bacterium
Lineage: Bacteria
Description: partial 16S ribosomal RNA
Rfam family: Bacterial small subunit ribosomal RNA
Source: RNAcentral
GUGUCAGCAGCCGCGGUAAUACGUAGGCAGCGAGCGUUGUUCGGAGUUACUGGGCGUAAAGAGUGCGUAGGCUGUGGUCCAAGUCUGGUGUGAAAUCUCCCGGCUCAACCGGGAGGGUGCGCCGGAAACUGGGCUGCUUGAGUGCCGGAGAGGCAGGCGGAAUUCCUGGUGUAGCGGUGAAAUGCGUAGAUAUCAGGAGGAACACCCGUGGUGUAGACGGCCUGCUGGACGGCAACUGACGCUGAGGCACGAAAGCGUGGGGAGCAAACAGGAUUAGAUACCCCUGUAGUCC